This 636-nucleotide ribosomal RNA is filed under the name uncultured bacterium. RNAcentral describes it as "bacterial SSU rRNA". It matches the Rfam family "Bacterial small subunit ribosomal RNA", at positions 111 to 763 of the family's 1533-position model. The record is from RNAcentral.
UAACACGUGGGCAACCUGCCUCAUAGAGGGGAAUAGCCUCCCGAAAGGGAGAUUAAUACCGCAUAAGAUUGUAGCUUCGCAUGAAGUAGCAAUUAAAGGAGCAAUCCGCUAUGAGAUGGGCCCGCGGCGCAUUAGCUAGUUGGUGAGGUAACGGCUCACCAAGGCGACGAUGCGUAGCCGACCUGAGAGGGUGAUCGGCCACAUUGGGACUGAGACACGGCCCAGACUCCUACGGGAGGCAGCAGUGGGGAAUAUUGCACAAUGGGGGAAACCCUGAUGCAGCAACGCCGCGUGAGUGAUGACGGCCUUCGGGUUGUAAAGCUCUGUCUUCAGGGACGAUAAUGACGGUACCUGAGGAGGAAGCCACGGCUAACUACGUGCCAGCAGCCGCGGUAAUACGUAGGUGGCGAGCGUUGUCCGGAUUUACUGGGCGUAAAGGGAGCGUAGGCGGACUUUUAAGUGAGAUGUGAAAUACCCGGGCUCAACUUGGGUGCUGCAUUUCAAACUGGAAGUCUAGAGUGCAGGAGAGGAGAAUGGAAUUCCUAGUGUAGCGGUGAAAUGCGUAGAGAUUAGGAAGAACAUCAGUGGCGAAGGCGAUUCUCUGGACUGUAACUGACGCUGAGGCUCGAAAGCGUG